RNAcentral lists this unclassified non-coding RNA (2305 nucleotides) under Centruroides sculpturatus (bark scorpion). Its description in RNAcentral is "structure-specific endonuclease subunit SLX4-like, transcript variant X1". Lineage: Eukaryota; Metazoa; Arthropoda; Arachnida; Scorpiones; Buthidae. The record is from RNAcentral.
GUAUCUCCAGCCUGGCAACACUAAGUGAAAUAUUUAAAUGCACAUGUUUAUUUUAGAAAUUGGUCAAUUACGGGAUGAAUAGUAAUGUUAUAAAAUUGUAGAAUUUUAUUAUAUUUUUCUCAGAUCGGUAGUCUUCAGCUGGCAAUUUUAGAAUUUUAAAGGAAAAAACUCUUCAUACUUUUAAUAUUAGUCUUUAAAUAAAUAUGUCCUCGUUUAAUUAUAAUGACGAUGAUCGGUAAUCAUUGCAUAAAUUGAAAAAAAUGCUUCAGAUUUUUUCGUAUUUCUAAUAUAUAAAGUGAUCAAAGAAUAGAAAAAUAAAUAAAAAAUGGUUGGACUUGAUGAAAACAGUACAGAUGCAGUUAAAAAAGUUUUAUUAGAUUGUCCACUUUGUGGUCAAGAUUUUCAAACAUUUGAGGCUCGUUGCAGUCAUUUAAAAAGUUGUGGUAUUAAAUUCAAUUUAAGUACUGCCCAGCUUCUCAGUGCAGUUCGUUUACAAGAAAAAUAUGUCAAUGAGCGGUUGGCAGCUGGUCUCCCAAAUGUUGUGAAAUCCAGAUUAACAAAACCGAAAACUUCAAAGAAACAACUCCUUCUAAAGAAGAGACCCAAAAGUAAAGCAGAAGAAGAUCUUCAGAUAGGUUUAGCCUUGUCGGAAUCAUUGAAAGAAAGUGAAAAAAAAGAAACCGAGAUCUUUGAAGAAUUUUCUGAAAGUUCGUUAUUGUGUAAUUCAAAUGAGCAAUGUAAAAAUUACAAUGAAGAAAAAUUUCAUGUAAUGAAUAUUGAGAGCAAACAUUUGAAAACAAGAAAAAGGAAAAUUAAACAUUCUGGUAUCCCUGCAUUGUUGUUAAGAUCAGAAAAUGAACGGUUAAAAUUAUUACAAGAUAAAAUUUCUUCACAUUUCACAACAGGGAUAGCAGAAUCUUAUGCAAAGAUAGAAGAAAAUAUUAGCAAUUAUGUAAAAUUCAAAGGAAUUUCUAAAUUAACUGUUAAGAUGACACCUUUAUGGAAUAUGUCCAAAAAUGAAAGUAAUGUUUUAGACAAAUUUUAUGUUUUAUCUUUAAAAAGUCUAAUUCCUCCAAGCAAAUCGCAAAUAAAAAGCAAAGAAUUUACAUGUCAGAAUGAGAAUAUUUCUUCUAACAAAUUUCCUACAGUUUCAUCUAAAAUUUUUGAUACGAAUCAUGAAACUAAUCCAGAUGUAGCUGCUGCUUUGAAGUUAGUUUCAGACUUUAAAACUUUAGUUGGUAACGAAGAAGGUAGUGAUGUUAGAAUUAUUGUUGCAAAAAAUAGAAUAAUUGCAGCUCACAGUAUUAUAUUAAAAGUCAGAUGUCCAUCCAUAAUUAAGGAUCUUCAUUGCAACCAAAAUCAGAAAAAAUUUGAAGUAAAUUGGAAUGAUGUUUCAUAUGAAACUGCAUUAGCUUUCUUAGAAGUUAUAUAUUCUGGAAGUUCAAAUAUUGAUGGUAUAAAUACAACACAGUUAAAAGGAUUAAUAAACAGGUAUCAAGUACAAAAUCUAUUUGAAAACUUUGACUUAGAAAGGCAUUUAAAUAUAAACCAGUCAAUGAUUGACAAUGAACGUCAAUUGCAAAAUAUUUUAAAUUCUAUAUGGAAAAUUGACAAUGAUGAUGAUAAAUUUAAAAAUAAUGAAAUAGAUGAUAAUGAAAGUCAAAAUGAUGAAAUGGAUGAUGUGUAUGAAUAUCUAUCUCAAAAACAAGGUAUUGAAGACAGAAAUUUAAGUUUAGCAAGUGAUUCCAAACCUAACUUUUUUGAAACAUCUGCCACAAAUCAAGAAGAAAGCCAGAAAGAUAAAAAAUGUCAUCAUUUUGGCUUGGAAAAACUUGAAAAGACAACAGAACAUUCUCUUAAUAAAACAAUAUUAUUUGAUAAUUCAAUGGAUGAGUAUAAUGAGAAUCUUGACAUGGAAACAGAACAUUCCCUUAAUAAAACAAUAUUAAUUGAUAAUUCAAUGGAAAAGUGCAAUGUUGACGUUUUAAGAACUGAGAAUAAUGAGAUUCAUAUGAUAAAUGAAAAUAAAUCUGAAGAUUUAAAUUUUAGUUUAAAAUUGUCACACAGUUCCAGUGAUGCAUCAGAAGAAUUAUUCACUGAAGAUAUCCAUGAUUUUCAAGAUUCGGAUAGGCAAAGCAAAAUGAGAUCUUAUAUUCAAAAGGAUAAAGAAUUAUAUCAAGAUAUUCUUGAGUAUAAGUUUCAGAACUUCACAAAAAAAUGAAAUCUGCCGGAAUUAAAAUUUCUCUACAGUGCUUAAUGGAUUAUCUUGAUGAAGAGUGUAUUAUUUAUACCCUUCCUAAAGGAA